RNAcentral lists this ribosomal RNA (919 nucleotides) under Priestia endophytica. Its description in RNAcentral is "bacterial SSU rRNA". It matches the Rfam family "Bacterial small subunit ribosomal RNA", at positions 56 to 953 of the family's 1533-position model. Lineage: Bacteria; Bacillati; Bacillota; Bacilli; Caryophanales; Bacillaceae. The record is from RNAcentral.
UGCAAGUCGAGCGGAGAUUUGAAAAGCUUGCUUUUCAAAUCUUAGCGGCGGACGGGUGAGUAACACGUGGGCAACCUGCCCUUGAGACGGGGAUAACUCCGGGAAACCGGAGCUAAUACCGGAUAACACAUAUCUUCGCAUGAGGAUAUGUUAGAAGGUGGCUUUUAGCUACCACUCAAGGAUGGGCCCGCGGCGCAUUAGCUAGUUGGUGAGGUAACGGCUCACCAAGGCGACGAUGCGUAGCCGACCUGAGAGGGUGAUCGGCCACACUGGGACUGAGACACGGCCCAGACUCCUACGGGAGGCAGCAGUAGGGAAUCUUCCGCAAUGGACGAAAGUCUGACGGAGCAACGCCGCGUGAGUGAUGAAGGUUUUCGGAUCGUAAAGCUCUGUUGUUAGGGAAGAACAAGUACCUGUUAAAUAAGCAGGUACCUUGACGGUACCUAACCAGAAAGCCACGGCUAACUACGUGCCAGCAGCCGCGGUAAUACGUAGGUGGCAAGCGUUGUCCGGAAUUAUUGGGCGUAAAGCGCGCGCAGGCGGUUCCUUAAGUCUGAUGUGAAAGCCCACGGCUCAACCGUGGAGGGUCAUUGGAAACUGGGGAACUUGAGUGCAGAAGAGGAGAGCGGAAUUCCACGUGUAGCGGUGAAAUGCGUAGAGAUGUGGAGGAACACCAGUGGCGAAGGCGGCUCUCUGGUCUGUAACUGACGCUGAGGCGCGAAAGCGUGGGGAGCGAACAGGAUUAGAUACCCUGGUAGUCCACGCCGUAAACGAUGAGUGCUAAGUGUUAGAGGGUUUCCGCCCUUUAGUGCUGCAGCAAACGCAUUAAGCACUCCGCCUGGGGAGUACGGUCGCAAGACUGAAACUCAAAGGAAUUGACGGGGACCCGCACAAGCGGUGGAGCAUGUGGUUUAAUUCG